Molecule: ribosomal RNA, 293 nt
Filed under: uncultured bacterium
Lineage: Bacteria
Description: partial 16S ribosomal RNA
Rfam family: Bacterial small subunit ribosomal RNA
Source: RNAcentral
GGAUUAGAUACCCUGGUAGUCCACGCCGUAAACGAUGAAGACUAGGUGUUAGGGGGCUUGACCUCUUAGUGCCGUAGCUAACGCAUUAAGUCUUCCGCCUGGGGAGUACGGCCGCAAGGCUAAAACUCAAAGGAAUUGACGGGGGCCCGCACAAGCGGUGGAGCAUGUGGUUUAAUUCGAUGCAACGCGAAAAACCUUACCUACCCUUGACAUUGAUGGAAUCUUUUGGAGACAGAAGAGUGCCUUCGGGAACCAUUAAACAGGUGCUGCAUGGCUGUCGUCAGCUCGUGCCG